GUUUCCAGCUAGCUCCCAUGAACAGAUUUCAGAACAUCUGACCAGUCACUACCCAAAACUUCAAGAUCUAACAGGGGGAUGGCUGCUUUAUAAAGCAUUAAGAGGUUCUGGACGGAGAAAACUUUCACUUAUACCUCCAGAGACUGAGGGUUACCAUGGAAACCUUUUGAAAACUGUGACAGUAGGAGGAAAAAACAUGAUCUACAUAUUUCCACUUCAGGAGAAAACUGAUAUGUCUCCUCUUCCUCUGGAUGCUCUAGAACUUCAAAGCAUGCCUAAAGCAUCAUGGGAAGUUUGCAGUGUUACCUUGCAGUUUAUUCUCAUCAUGAAAGCAGUGCUAAUGAAGGUACUCCAGUGGCAUCAACAUCAAGUACAAAUGAUGCCAGUUUCCCUGGAACACAUCUGUUUUUAAUUUGAGGCAGCUUGUCCAGUAUGUGAAGAGGAAUAUCUGCUGGAUAUUUUACAGAUCCAUGCCAGCUGUUGUGGAGACAGUCUUGAGGAGACCUCACCCAGACCAGAACAGGUUUCCAAAUCACUUGGAGGUUCACUGAAAAAGUCACUGACACAUGUUAAUAUAUCAUUUAUUGCUGACACAUUUCACACAUAGGUGAUCAUGUUAAUUAUUUUUUUAUUUUUAUUAUUUACUUUAAAAUAAAUAUAUAUAAUUUUCUGUAUUUAAAUCACACACAAUAUAAUUU
Long non-coding RNA from Girardinichthys multiradiatus, 698 nucleotides. RefSeq lists it as uncharacterized. The record is from RefSeq and is a predicted model, not a curated record. The transcript is spliced from 5 exons. Lineage: Eukaryota; Metazoa; Chordata; Actinopteri; Cyprinodontiformes; Goodeidae.